This is a long non-coding RNA of Balaenoptera ricei (Rice's whale), 568 nucleotides long. RefSeq lists it as uncharacterized. The transcript is spliced from 3 exons. The record is from RefSeq and is a predicted model, not a curated record. Lineage: Eukaryota; Metazoa; Chordata; Mammalia; Artiodactyla; Balaenopteridae.
CGGCGGGAGGCGAGGUGGCACAGUGCGAGCAGCAGCACGGCCACCAGCGCCAGCACCUUGGCGCUCCUCACGCUGAAGUAGUGGUUGAUCUCCCGCUUGCCCAGGAGGUCAUGGGGAUAAAGAAGACUGGAAAAAGGACUGAAAAGGACCAGCCAGCACAAUAGGAGGAGCACAGUUUUGAGCUGAGAGAGUGUUGGUGCUCCGGCCGGGUGUCAGGCCUGAGCCUCUGAGGUAGGAGAGCCAAGUUAAGGACAAUGGACCACCAGAGACCUCCCGGCCCCACCUAAUAUCAAUCAGCAAGAGAUCUCCCAGAGAUCUCCGUCUCAAUGCUAAGACCCAGCUCCACUCAACAACCAGCAAGCUCCAGUGCUGGACACCCCAUGCCAAACAACUAGCAAGACAGGAACACAACCCACCCAUGAGCGGAGAGGCUACCUAAAAUCAUAAUAAGUUCACAGACACCCCAAAACACACCACCAGACACGGUAUUGCCCACCAGAAAGACAAGAUCCAGCCUCAUCCACCAGAACACAGGCACUAGUCCCCUCCACAACCCACUGAACCAACC